This 117-nucleotide small RNA is filed under the name Marmota monax (woodchuck). The record is from RNAcentral. Lineage: Eukaryota; Metazoa; Chordata; Mammalia; Rodentia; Sciuridae.
GCAAGGCACAAUGACAUAUGCCUGUAGUUCCAGCUACUUGAGAAGCUAUGACAGGAGAAUUGCUAAAGCUCAGGAGUUUGGUGUCAGCCCAGGCAAUAUAGUGAGACCCUGUCUCUU